AAGUCGUAACAAGGUCUCCGUUGGUGAACCAGCGGAGGGAUCAUUAACGAGUUCUACAAAAACUCCCAAACCCAUGUGAACAUACCCUGCGUUGCCUCGGCAGGCGGCGUCCCCUCUCGGGCGACCCUACCCUGCCGGAGGCCAUCACAACUCUUGUUUCUAUAGUAUCAUUUCUGAAAUUCAUAACUAAAUAAGUUAAAACUUUCAACAACGGAUCUCUUGGUUCUGG
This 229-nucleotide unclassified non-coding RNA is filed under the name fungal sp. Its description in RNAcentral is "partial internal transcribed spacer region". The stretch from base 1 to 46 matches the Rfam family "Eukaryotic small subunit ribosomal RNA", at positions 1786 to 1831 of the family's 1831-position model. Lineage: Eukaryota; Fungi. The record is from RNAcentral.